This 612-nucleotide ribosomal RNA is filed under the name Escherichia coli. Its description in RNAcentral is "bacterial SSU rRNA". It matches the Rfam family "Bacterial small subunit ribosomal RNA", at positions 107 to 715 of the family's 1533-position model. Lineage: Bacteria; Pseudomonadati; Pseudomonadota; Gammaproteobacteria; Enterobacterales; Enterobacteriaceae. The record is from RNAcentral.
UGAGUAAUGUCUGGGAAACUGCCUGAUGGAGGGGGAUAACUACUGGAAACGGUAGCUAAUACCGCAUAACGUCGCAAGACCAAAGAGGGGGACCUUCGGGCCUCUUGCCAUCGGAUGUGCCCAGAUGGGAUUAGCUAGUAGGUGGGGUAAAGGCUCACCUAGGCGACGAUCCCUAGCUGGUCUGAGAGGAUGACCAGCCACACUGGAACUGAGACACGGUCCAGACUCCUACGGGAGGCAGCAGUGGGGAAUAUUGCACAAUGGGCGCAAGCCUGAUGCAGCCAUGCCGCGUGUAUGAAGAAGGCCUUCGGGUUGUAAAGUACUUUCAGCGGGGAGGAAGGGAGUAAAGUUAAUACCUUUGCUCAUUGACGUUACCCGCAGAAGAAGCACCGGCUAACUCCGUGCCAGCAGCCGCGGUAAUACGGAGGGUGCAAGCGUUAAUCGGAAUUACUGGGCGUAAAGCGCACGCAGGCGGUUUGUUAAGUCAGAUGUGAAAUCCCCGGGCUCAACCUGGGAACUGCAUCUGAUACUGGCAAGCUUGAGUCUCGUAGAGGGGGGUAGAAUUCCAGGUGUAGCGGUGAAAUGCGUAGAGAUCUGGAGGAAUACCGGUGG